Molecule: ribosomal RNA, 496 nt
Filed under: uncultured bacterium
Lineage: Bacteria
Description: partial 16S ribosomal RNA
Rfam family: Bacterial small subunit ribosomal RNA
Source: RNAcentral
AUGCACGCUGGCGGCGUGCCUCAUACCUGCAAGUCGCGCGAACAGACGAGGAGCUUGCUCCUCUGACGUUAGCGGCGGACGGGUGAGUAACACGUGGAUAACCUACCUAUAAGACUGGGAUAACUUCGGGAAACCGGAGCUAAUACCGGAUAAUAUAUUGAACCGCAUGGUUCAAUAGUGAAAGACGGUUUUGCUGUCACUUAUAGAUGGAUCCGCGCCGCAUUAGCUAGUUGGUAAGGUAACGGCUUACCAAGGCGACGAUGCGUAGCCGACCUGAGAGGGUGAUCGGCCACACUGGAACUGAGACACGGUCCAGACUCCUACGGGAGGCAGCAGUAGGGAAUCUUCCGCAAUGGGCGAAAGCCUGACGGAGCAACGCCGCGUGAGUGAUGAAGGUCUUCGGAUCGUAAAACUCUGUUAUUAGGGAAGAACAAAUGUGUAAGUAACUAUGCACGUCUUGACGGUACCUAAUCAGAAAGCCACGGCUAACUACGUG